AUGUUGGACUUGGCAGCACAUAUACAAAAAUUCAAACAAUACGGUCAAGAUUAUCAUAGCCCUUGAGCAGGGAUGGCACUCAAACCAGGAAGCAUAAUGAACUAAG
This is a small nuclear RNA of Cricetulus griseus (Chinese hamster), 106 nucleotides long. NCBI's taxonomy places the organism in Eukaryota, Metazoa, Chordata, Mammalia, Rodentia, Cricetidae. The record is from Ensembl.